GCAAGUCGAGGGGCAGCACGAGUACUUGUACUUGGUGGCGACCGGCGCACGGGUGCGUAACGCGUAUGCAACCUACCUUUUACUGGAGGAUAGCCCGGGGAAACUCGGAUUAAUACUCCAUAGUAUUACCAGAUGGCAUCUGACGGUAAUUAAAGAUUUAUUGGUAAAAGAUGGGCAUGCGUAUCAUUAGCUAGUUGGUAAGGUAACGGCUUACCAAGGCUACGAUGAUUAGGGGGCCUGAGAGGGUGAUC
This 251-nucleotide ribosomal RNA is filed under the name uncultured bacterium. Its description in RNAcentral is "partial 16S ribosomal RNA". It matches the Rfam family "Bacterial small subunit ribosomal RNA", at positions 57 to 305 of the family's 1533-position model. The record is from RNAcentral.